Molecule: ribosomal RNA, 460 nt
Filed under: uncultured bacterium
Lineage: Bacteria
Description: partial 16S ribosomal RNA
Rfam family: Bacterial small subunit ribosomal RNA
Source: RNAcentral
CCUACGGGAGGCAGCAGUGAGGAAUAUUGGUCAAUGGGCGUAAGCCUGAACCAGCCAAGUCGCGUGAGGGAUGAAGGUUCUAUGGAUCGUAAACCUCUUUUAUCAGGGAAUAAAGUGUGGGACGUGUCCUAUUUUGGAUGUACCUUAUGAAUAAGGAUCGGCUUACUCCGUGCCAGCAGCCGCGGUAAUACGGAGGAUCCGAGCGUUAUCCGGAUUUAUUGGGGUUAAAGGGUGCGUAGGGGGCCUUUUAAGUCAGCGGUGAAAGUUUGUGGCUCAACCAUAGACUUGCCGUUGAAACUGGGGGGCUUGAGUAUGUUUGAGGCAGGCGGAAUGCGUGGGGUAGCGGUGAAAUGCUUAGAUAUCACGCAGAACCCCGAUUGCGAAGGCAGCCUGCCAAGCCAUGACUGACGCUGAUGCACGAAAGCGUGGGGAUCGAACAGGAUUAGAUACCCUGGUAGUC